AGAGUUUGAUCCUGGCUCAGAUUGAACGCUGGUGGCAUGCUUAACACAUGCAAGUCGCACGGCAGCAUGAUCUAGCUUGCUAGAUUGAUGGCGAGUGGCGGACGGGUGAGUAACGCGUAGGAAUCUGUCUUAAAGUUGGGGAUAACACGGGGAAACUCGUGCUAAUACCGCAUAAAGUUUACGAACCAAAGCUGGGGACCUUCGGGCCUGGCGCUUUGAGAUGAGCCUGCGUUGGAUUAGCUAGUUGGUGAGGUAAGGGCUCACCAAGGCUGCGAUCCAUAGCUGUUCUGAGAGGAAGAUCAGCCACACUGGGACUGAGACACGGCCCAGACUCCUACGGGAGGCAGCAGUGGGGAAUAUUGGACAAUGGGGGCAACCCUGAUCCAGCAAUGCCACGUGUGUGAAGAAGGCCUUAGGGUUGUAAAGCACUUUCAGGAAGGAGGAAAGGUAUUAGAUUAAGAGUUAAAUACUGUGACGUUACUUUCAGAAGAAGCACCGGCAAACUCCGUGCCAGCAGCCGCGGUAAUACGGAGGGUGCGAGCGUUAAUCGGACUUACUGGGCGUAAAGGGUCCGUAGGCGGAUAAAUAAGUCAGAUGUAAAAGUCCAGGGCUCAACCUUGGGAUGUCAUUUGAAACUGUGUAUCUAGAGUAUAGGAGAGGAAAGGGGAAUUUCUGGUGUAGCGGUGAAAUGCGUAGAUAUCAGAAGGAACACCAAUGGCGAAGGCAACUUUCUGGCCGAAUACUGACGCUGAGGGACGAAAGCAUGGUUAGCGAACAGGAUUAGAUACCCUGGUAGUCCAUGCUGUAAACGAUGAGUACUAGCUGUAGGAAUCGGUGUUAAGGUUCUUGUGGCGUAGCUAACGCGCUAAGUACUCCGCCUGGGGAUUACGGCCGCAAGGCUAAAACUCAAAGGAAUUGACGGGGACCCGCACAAGCGGUGGAGCAUGUGGUUUAAUUCGAUGCAACGCGAAGAACCUUACCUACCCUUGACAUACUGAGAACGAUUUAGAGAUAGAUCGGUGCCUUCGGGAAUUCAGAUACAGGUGCUGCAUGGCUGUCGUCAGCUCGUGUCGUGAGAUGUUGGGUUAAGUCCCGCAACGAGCGCAACCCUUAUUUAUAGUUGCCAUCAUUGAGUUGGGCACUCUAUAGAGACUGCCGUGGUUAACACGGAGGAAGGUGGGGACGACGUCAAGUCAUCAUGGCCCUUACGGGUAGGGCUACACACGUGCUACAAUGGGCAUUACAGAGGGAAGCGAAGAGGCGACUUGGAGCGAAACUCACAAAGGUGUUCGUAGUCCGGAUUGUUCUCUGCAACUCGAGAACAUGAAGUCGGAAUCGCUAGUAAUCGCGAAUCAGCAUGUCGCGGUGAAUACGUUCCCGGGUCUUGUACACACCGCCCGUCACACCAUGGGAGUGGGUUGCACCAGAAGUGGCUAGUCUAACUAUUAGAGGACGGUCACCACGGUGUGAUUCAUGACUGGGGUGAAGUCGUAACAAGGUAGCCGUAGGGGAACCUGCGGCUGGAUCACCU
RNAcentral lists this ribosomal RNA (1531 nucleotides) under Francisellaceae bacterium. RNAcentral describes it as "bacterial SSU rRNA". It matches the Rfam family "Bacterial small subunit ribosomal RNA". Lineage: Bacteria; Pseudomonadati; Pseudomonadota; Gammaproteobacteria; Thiotrichales; Francisellaceae. The record is from RNAcentral.